UACGUAGGUGGCAAGCGUUGUCCGGAUUUACUGGGCGUAAAGAGCGCGCAGGCGGUUUGAUAAGUCGGAUGUGAAAGCCCCCGGCUCAACUGGGGAGGGUCAUUCGAUACUGUCCGACUCGAAGGCAGGAGAGGGAAGCGGAAUUCCCGGUGUAGUGGUGAAAUGCGUAGAUAUCGGGAGGAACAUCAGUGGCGAAGGCGGCUAUCUGGACUAACACUGACACUGAGGCACGAAAGCGUGGGGAGCAAACAGG
This 253-nucleotide ribosomal RNA is filed under the name uncultured bacterium. Its description in RNAcentral is "partial 16S ribosomal RNA". It matches the Rfam family "Bacterial small subunit ribosomal RNA", at positions 524 to 776 of the family's 1533-position model. The record is from RNAcentral.